UACAGUUUUAGAUUUUUAUAGCAUUCAACUUGAAACUUGAAACAUUUUGAAGCUAAAAACUUUUUAAAUAAAAGUGUGUGCCUGUAACGUAGAAAAGCUCCAUGCAAGAGAAUCACCCAUUAUUAGAAUGUCUUAUAAUUACUCAUAGAUAAAACUACAUUAUUAAUUUUGUGGACUAUUGUAAAUCUCCUUCUACACAAAGAUUGAUAGGCUGAGCUGUCUUUUGGAGGAACACUGCAGUUUUAUGAAUGUAGUGAAGGAGACGCAUGUACAGUAUGAUGUGGGUGACAGCUGAGAUACACACAGCAUCAUGUUCAGUCAGAUAACUUAUACUGUCUGAGGAAGUGGAAGUGUGAACUGAGAGUGACCUUCUCCUGAACUUCCGUUAAACAAACACCAUUAUUAGUAUGAUACAAAUCUUCUACACCCUCUGUAAUUUUGCUCAUUAAAGUCUAGUCCUCUAGGAAAAAUGCAGGUUUGAUAAGAUUGCAUUUCCCUAAAGGAUUUUGGAGGGCAGGAUGGCGAAUGGAUUUUCAACCCACUCCUGAUUGUCAAUUAAAGGUUAUCCAUUGCAACUGAUAGCUGAUGUGUGGUGAGUGUACUAGUGCACUUUGGCUGCCAUUGCAUCAUCCAGGUGGAUGUUACACAUUGGAUGGUGGAGAGGACUCCCCAUUACCUGUACUUUGCUUUGAGUGGAAAGUCCAGAACAGUGAUAUAUACAGGGAACAGCUGAGGAAGGCUCCAGCAUCAUCUUCCUCCCCUCCUACAUGGAUUGGACAUGGAUAAAUCAAGGGGAGCAGGGAACCAUGUUGUUGGGGAAGACCAGGACUGGAGACGCUGCCUAAAGAGUUUCAGUUUAAGGAGUACAGUUUCAUUCACUGUUCCUUGGUGUGAUGGAAGACACCAGGUUGCCGACCGGAGCUGGUUUCAGAGAAAAUUGCUUCUGGUUUUCUCACUGAGGACAUAUGUUGGUAACUGAGUUCCAUGGGGUUUCAUUGUACUGUUCAUUCAGUAAAUUACUCUGGUGACUGUAUUGCAUUAUGUGUAAGAGUAGAAUGAUAGACUGAAAUAAAUGGGAUAUUGUAUAGGAUAA
Lepisosteus oculatus (spotted gar) is the source of this 1093-nucleotide non-coding RNA. The record is from RefSeq and is a predicted model, not a curated record. NCBI's taxonomy places the organism in Eukaryota, Metazoa, Chordata, Actinopteri, Semionotiformes, Lepisosteidae.